CAAUAGCGUAUAUUAAAGUUGUUGCGGUAAAAAAGCUCGUAGUUGGAUUUCUACCGAAGAUAGCCGGUCGGGUCUUCGACCUUGUAUCUGGUUUUGUCUUUGGUAUCCUCAUAGGGAACGUUUCUGCGCUUUAUUGCGUGGUGCGGUAUCUAUGACUUUUACUUUGAGGAAAUUAGAGUGUCACGGCAGGCAAACGCCUUGAAUAUAUUAGCAUGGAAUAAUAACAUAGGAUCUUCGUCCUAUUUUGUUGGUUUCUAGGGCUAAGAUAAUGAUUAAUAGGGAUAAUUGGGGGCAUCUGUAUCAACGCGUCAGAGGUGGAAUUCUUGGAUUGCGUUGCGACAAACUACUGCGAAAGCAUUUGCCAAGGAUGUUUUCAUUGA
RNAcentral lists this ribosomal RNA (380 nucleotides) under uncultured eukaryote. Its description in RNAcentral is "partial 18S ribosomal RNA". It matches the Rfam family "Eukaryotic small subunit ribosomal RNA", at positions 592 to 976 of the family's 1831-position model. The record is from RNAcentral.